GACGAACGCUGGCGGCGUGCUUAACACAUGCAAGUCGAACGGUAAGGCCCUUCGGGGUACACGAGUGGCGAACGGGUGAGUAACACGUGGGUGAUCUGCCCUGCACUUCGGGAUAAGCCUGGGAAACUGGGUCUAAUACCGGAUAGGACCACUGCCUGCAUGGGUGGUGGUGGAAAGCUUUUGCGGUGUGGGAUGGGCCCGCGGCCUAUCAGCUUGUUGGUGGGGUGAUGGCCUACCAAGGCGACGACGGGUAGCCGGCCUGAGAGGGUGACCGGCCGCACUGGGACUGAGAUACGGCCCAGACUCCUACGGGAGGCAGCAGUGGGGGAUAUUGCACAAUGGGCGGAAGCCUGAUGCAGCGACGCCGCGUGAGGGAUGACGGCCUUCGGGUUGUAAACCUCUUUCAGCACCGACGAAGCGCAAGUGACGGUAGGUGCAGAAGAAGGACCGGCCAACUACGUGCCAGCCGCCGCGGUAA
RNAcentral lists this ribosomal RNA (478 nucleotides) under uncultured bacterium. Its description in RNAcentral is "partial 16S ribosomal RNA". It matches the Rfam family "Bacterial small subunit ribosomal RNA", at positions 28 to 523 of the family's 1533-position model. The record is from RNAcentral.